GGAUGUAGCUCAAUGGCAGAGCACUGCACUGUGGAUGCAGAUGUUGCGGGUUCGACCCCCGUCAUCCGCCCCA
Molecule: transfer RNA, 73 nt
Filed under: Chloroflexota bacterium
Lineage: Bacteria; Bacillati; Chloroflexota
Description: Chloroflexi bacterium (Maroochydoore River metagenome) tRNA-His
Rfam family: tRNA
About the family: Transfer RNA (tRNA) molecules are approximately 80 nucleotides in length.
Source: RNAcentral